AUUUCCGAUAUUCGUUAAUUUGUUAAAAGGAUAAAAUAUUAUUGUUGACACUAAAAACCAAACACAUCUUAUCGUCAUCAUAUGUAGUACAACUAGUUUGAUCUGAGAAGAAAACAUAUUUUAAGACGUAUUUAAGUGUUCUGAAAUGGUAUAUUACAUCAAUAUUUAAUCAAAAACCCGAAGCUUAUUUGUUAUGAGGUUCAAAUGAUGUGUAUCGAUUCUGAAUGAUUGGUCUACUAUUGAUGAAAAUAACUGAUACGAUUAAAUAAUGAUUAAUACUAUUUCCACAUUAACUACAAGAAAAGACAACAUUAACGACGGCGAAACUCGUAGUAAGAUCAUCGUAAAUAAGGCUUUACGAGGAAUUAGCGAGAAAACAAGCUUUAUCGUUAUUCGUUUCUCGUAAUGCAUAUUUCCUCGCCAAUUUGUCGAAAACUAGCGAGAAACAUAUUUCAUCAUGAAGACAAAGAAAAGUAUUUUUCGUCAAAACCACGUAACCUUUCCACGUAAGGAGGACGCUACAUUUUUUUGUAAAUAACUCGAAAGUCAUUCCUUGUAAAUUACACGUAAACUCCUCCACAUAAAAUACUCGUUAAGCUUUCCUCGUAGUGCUGACGUAAAUGUUUUCCUCGUAACUUCUUCAUAAACUUUCCACGCAAUGUAGUCGUAAUUUAGCUUUGAAAUUACUUCGAUUUUUUAUAUUCCAGAAUUAAAAAUAAAAAAUAAAAAAAAAAUAUUUAAUUAAUUAAUAAAAAUAUAAUUUAAAAAUUAAUGUAAAUACGAAAACAUUUUAUACAUAGAUAAGUUUUGAAUUUAUAAUAGAAUCAACGAAAAGAAAAAAAAGAACUAAGGGUCGUUCACCGGUAGAAUUCCUCACUCCUCUGUACAUCCGCCUCGUCAUGUGUGUCGGAUGACUCGCCUGGAAUGGGAUUUUGUCUUCGCAUGUUCCUCAACAAGGACUCCCAUUCCAGAUUUGUGACCGCUACAACGUCCAAGAAGCCCUCGACUCCACCCAUAAGAGCUGUGAACGCAGAUCGCGUCGAGUCCAACUCGUUACGCAGGUGAGUGACUUCAUCAUCCCGUCUCUGACCAUAAGACGAUGUCGCUCUCGGAACAUCGUUGACGGAACCAAUCCCCAACGUACGUCCCUUUUACUUAGGGACAACCUUAAAAAUAAAAAACAAAUACUGUUAGUAAAAAGUUAAAGUUAAAUUAAAUGAAUAAUAAAAAAAAAAUUAAAAUUUUUUAACUUCUCGUAAAUCCUAUUCACUUCAAGUGUGGAUAAAGUAACGGGUAAUCCGUCGGUGGACUGCUGGGUCAGCUAGGUCUGGUUGUCUUCAACCCGACCAACCAAGUCGUUGAAGAUCUGCUCGGACCUAGCAUCUAGAAAUUGGCCCUCCUUGUUCUUGUGGAUCCUCUUGUAAAGUUGCAAAAGAGACGGGAGUUCUUGACCCGUAUUGAAUUACCAUAUCCAGACGGAUACCGGCGUGGGGUUUUUGACCCGUAGAGUGAAGCAUCGGCUCGUGGCCGUGCUCAUCUACCGUCUGACGGAAGGCAGAGCAAGAUUCAGCGACUCUAAUGGAGUCAGGAUCCCACCAAUACCGGAUGAGGCCAUCCCACACUUCCGUGGUGAGCUCAGGGGGUUUGCCACGCUCAUACUCCUUCACGAUCCAGUCACCCUUCCAGUUAGAGACCGUGUCCAACAAGCGAGCUUUCGCCUUCGCGUUAAACGUUUUCUUCACCUUCUCAUUGACCCCCAUGGACCAAUGGUAUUUUUAUUGUAACAGAAAAAAUUAAAUUAAGAGUUAGUUUUAAAAAAUUAAAAAAUCUAAAUCAGAAAAAAUUAAACUAUAUAUAAUUAAUUAAUAGUAACUCACAGCAAAAAUUUUGAACCACUGACGUAGAUCGGCGUCUUUUUCCAGUUCGGAUGUGGCUCGGAGAAGUAACCUUUGAUCGUCUCGGUUACGUUCCAAGCAACACAUCUGUCGACCUCAAACCUGAAAAGAAAAACAAAUUUAAAGUAUAAAUUAUUUAUUAUUGUUAUAAAAGAAUUUUAAAAUAAUUUAAAAAAAUGUAACUUAACACAAAGUUCCGUCUGAUCGGUCGGGGUCUAGGACUGAUAAACCUUCUCUGUGGCUGAGCGAGAAGGUCCUCGAACGUGUACUGCGAGUAAGGAGAACUCGGCGGCAUCAUCAAAUCAGGAUUAAUCAUGGCCGGCAUCGGAGGAGCCAUCAGAGGAGGCACCUUUGGGACAUGAGCAUGAGGAACCGGUGGUGCAACGAUUCGAGGAACCGAUGGUGCACCAGAAAAAGGCAACCGAGAGACUCUCUGAGAAGAUUGAGUCUCGGGGACAGUCUCCGGACGCGAAGAACCGGGAGCUGAAGAAGGACCGGGAGCUGAAGAAGACGGGUCUAAACGAUUACCAGGCUCCCCGAACAUCUCUCUGUAAUGGGGAGUAAGUCUGUUCUGUCGAACCGUCUGGAAAGAAAUUUUAUUUUUUAAAAUUAACAUCAAAAGUUAUUAACAAAUUUUAUAAUUAAAAAAUUCUAUAAAUCUAGCAAAAUUCCCUACAUUAACCAUCUAAUCAACACUAAUUAACAUAAAAUCCGUAAACCUAUCUGAAUUCCCUACACUAACCACCUAAUCUACCCUAAAGUAAUCAAAUUAGAGAGGAAAUAGAGAGAGUACGUACCAUUGCUACGAAAGAAAAAGAGGAAGUGAAGACGAAAUGGAAGUGAGAAGCUCGCGUGUAUAUAUAAGAAAUUAGUAAUCAUUGUAAUUACCUCGUAAAGUUACGAGGAACUCGCGAGGCCUGCGUUUUUUUACGAGGAAUUAGAAAGGCCCGCGUUUUGUUUCCUUGUAACGUCCUCGUUAAUUUACGAGGAAAUAGCAAGGCCCAUGUUCUUAUUUACGAGUAAAUACAAAGGUCCGCAUUUUCCAACUACGAGGUCUUUAUGACGAAUUCUACUUACACAGAAUUAACAAGUCCCACGUUCUUUAUUUUUAAGAUUCUUCGUAAGUUCCUCGUUAGUUUACGAAGAAGUAACGAGGAUUAUGUUUAAAUCCCUAAAAUCCAAAACACCAAACCCCAUCUUUCUUAUCUUCUACUUUAUAUAUUCCAAACCCCAAACCCAUCUUCCCUUUAACCUCAAUAUCUUCUUUCCAUUCCAAACCCCAAAUUAUAAAACAACAGUUCCUUAACUUAUAGUCUCAAUCUCUUCUUUCUAAUUCAAACUGCCCAUUACCUUUACACAAAAUUAAAUUAUAUAAAUUGAUUUUCAUUAUUAAAUCCAUCAAAUCACAUGCAUUAAGUCUGAAAAUCAAUCAUAUUAAAAACAAAUACAUCAGUCGGAUACAUCGACAUUCUCGUCAUCACUAGAAACAUCAUCAUAUUCAUUAAACUCGUCUUCAACAGCUUCGUCUGUGGUAUCGUCGGUAAGAUCUUCGUACUCAUGAUUAUGAGGAUCAAUGAGAAGGAAUGUCAUAAGUUUGUUUUUCAGGUUUCUCGACUUUAUUUAUCUGUUCUUCCUUCAAUGGUGGUUCUUCUCCAUUGAUGAUUCGUCCACGAGGUGUAACUUUGAUCACGGCUAACUAAUUUAUUCUCGAUUCUCUCAUCCGAGGGUAUGGAAUGAGGCUAACUUUGUCUGCUUGUGAAGCUAAGAUGAAAGGCUCGAAUUUGUUGUACCUGCAAAAAUAACGACAACGUAGAAAUUAAUCAUACAGAUCAUGUAUGCCAAAAAAAGAAUUUGAUGUACAUUCGUCCACCAUUGACAUCAACUACACCGAAUUUGUUAAACCGAACACCUCUGUUGACGACGGGGUCAAACCAUUCACAUUUGAAGAUGACACAUUUCAGCUUCAAUAACCCUAGGAAUUCGACUUCAAUAAUCUCCUGCAUGAUCCCGUAGAAAUAUGUUUCGCCUUUCACACAUAUUCUAUAGUUACUGGUUGCCCGCUGUCUACCACACUCAUAUGUGUGAAAAAUAUAGCUUCGUGUGAAAUAUAUAUGUGAUGUGGUAACCUUUGCAAGUGGAGCUUGAAUUACUUCGUGAAACCACGUAGGAUAAUCUGCUUCGUCGUCAUAAUCAACCUGCAAAAAUAAAGAGAACGUUGAAAUACAGAUCAUGUAUGAAAAAAGAGUUUGAUCGAUCCACCUGCAAAAAUUAAGAGUUUGAGUUAAUACCUGAUUCUUCAGUAGAUCAUGCAAUUGUCGAUGCAAUUGUCGAUGCAAACGUCUCUCAUCUUCGAAGGCAACCCAAGACUAUAAACCAAUUUCUGAAUCUCAUAAUAAGAAUCAGCAGACACAUUGUCUUCCGGCAAAUACUCUUUAAACAAGUCUGCCCAUUCAUUCAUGCAACUUUCAGAUAGAUAGUGAUCAGUUUUAAUAUUCAUCAUUUUAACAGCCAAUGACAAUUUAGAGAGACCUUCUCUACAACCACUGUAAAGUGGCUGAUUCACUGCAUCUAACAUUUCAUAAAACUUUUUUGCAUCUAUGUUAGGUUCUUCAUCUUCAUCAUGAGCUACGAAUGCAUCAGCUACCAUAUCAUGAAUCCUAUCAUAAUCUACCAUUUGCUCCUCCUGAUGAUAACUAUGUUCAUUAUGCAAAUGAUGAUCAACCGGUUCUUCCUGAAAAUUGCUAUUACUACUAGCUUCAUUCUCAUAAUUAUAACAUUCUCCAUGUUGAAACUAGAUAUAGUAAUUUGGCGUGAAACCUCUAUUUAUUAAAUGCUUUCAAACAUUUUCACGAUUUGCCAAUUUCGAAUUGUUGCAUUUACGACAAAGAUAGAACAUCUUAUUGCUUUCUUGGGCGAGCGGUGUGGAAUCUGCUUGAUGCAUAAAUGUCUACAGUCCUUCGAGGUAUUAUUUCGUCAUUCUCCCGUUAGCAUCUUUGUGCAUAUACAUCCACCUCUGCAACUCGAAAAUAUUCCCGGAGUCCGACUUUUUUUUUCUUUCACGUUUUUAUUUUUUUUCUUGUUGUUGUGUUUAAAAUGAUGUUCAAACAUCUAUAUUUAUAUGAAAUUUUCGAAUCUGAUAGUUGAAAGUUUACUAGAAAUUUACGACGAAAUUUAGUUAGGUAGCCGUAACAAAAAACGUGUUACAACUACAAAGUUGGUGGACUCGAAAUUUUGUCGUUAAGUAAACGUAAAAUAUUUCCUCGUAAACUAGACGCUAUUGUUACGUCGAAUUUAUGAGGAACACGUCGUUUUUACGAAGAAAUCGUUUUGUCGUUAUUUUACAACGAACUAACGUUGAUUUUAAAUUUUCUCGUAAGAUAAUCGUAAAGUCAACGUACAUUUACGAAGAUUAAAUUUCCUCAUUAAUUUUCGUUGUUAUAGUUGUGUUUUCUUGUAGUGAUUUUUAGUUGUUAAUGUGCUAAAUAUAUUUACGUUCGUAAAUACGUAUAGUUGUGGGGAUGAAGUAUUAUUUCAUAUGUGUAAUUUGUUUUCUGCGUUUAGCCAACAUACACCAGGCAAGGUAUUUGGAAGGAUCAACUAUAUGAAACAUACUGAACAUACCAACAUUCACACUUUUAAAUUGGAAAAAUGCUUAGAAAAAAAUACUAAGAAAUAUAUAUUGAUUUCAUAUGGUAAUAUUCAAACUUUAUAUAUUUUUUCAACAUUUUCGGAUUAUUAAACCAUAUAUUUAGGCUAGUGAAAUCAAGUGGGUUGGUUUACUGAUAAAAAAAAAUCGAUUGGUGCCGUAUAAAUGAAUAGAUUAUUGAGCUUUUUAUAUUUGCAUUGUAAUAUUGUAUAAUCACAACGAAAGAAUACUGCCUAAUAUAACGAAGCGUUGACAGAAUCAAUUAUUUUUCUGUAAUAAAAAACUGAAUAGAUUGAUAAAAUUUGAAGAUCGGUACAAAUAUUCGAGUGAGGUAAUCAUAUCCAUAAGUGCAUACUUGAACAAUGUACAAUUCGUACAAUAUAUAUAUAUAUAUUUUUUGGUCUGUUAAUAGUAUCUAUUUUGUCGAUAAAACAUAGUAUACAAAAGUAAAUAAAGCAGUUCAAAAAAAAGUAAAUAUAGUAUAAAUUAUAGCUUCUAGUCAUUAUUUGAAACAUACUAAUAUGUUGUUUUCUAGACUAUCAAAAUUUAUAAACUAUUAGGAUAUUUUGUGAUAAAAGGUCUGCAUCCUUGCCUUUUGUCAAAAAAAAAAAAAAUCUGCAUCCAUUUCCCAAAAAUGCCACGGCUGCAUAAAUAAUUGGCUUUUGUUAGAAGAUAAAUAUCAAAAGAGGAUGAUUAUCCAACUUGGAUACCUGUCCUGUUAUAACAUCAUCUUAGUCAUCUCUAUGUGUCUUGUUCUCUAUUAAAGGGAUGAUGACUAUGUAAUUUUGUUGUACUAUAAAUAACUGAGUAAAGUUGUUGUUCGUAGAAGAUGAAAAAGAUACAACAAUAAUAAGAAGAACACUUUCUUCUUUACUCAUCACAAUUACAAGACCAACUCUCACUCUCUCCUUUAUUAUUAUUCUAUUUUCUCCAUAAAUACAAGUAUAUACAUAAUCAUUUAUAUCCUGAGCUAAUAGUUCACAACACGUUAUCAGCACGAAGUUUUGACCAACUGAGGUUUAUCAAUCCGAAAGUUUUUAAACCAGUCGAGGUAAUUUAUGUGUUUUAAUAUACUUAAUUUAUUUAAAUAUUAUUAUUAUUAUUCCGGAGUGAGAGGCUAGUCCUUCUCCGUUUAUUUUUCGGGAUGAUAGGCGUUGCUUUCUCCGACUGAUCGUUAUGGUAGGCUGUGCAUUUACGAUCAGAUGAUCACGUGGUAGGCUUUACCUCCGUGACUUGAAAAAAAAGGAGGGUCACGUGGAAGGCUUUGCCUCCGUAAAUAAAAAAAAGUCAAAAAUGGUAGACUAAGUCUCCUUGGACCUUGAAUAAAAAGAAAAGAUUAAUAUGGUAAACCAUGUCUCCUCAAACCUUGAUAAAAAUGAUCAAUAUGGUAGUCAAUGACUCCUCGGAUCAUGUGGUAGGCUGAGCCUCCCGAUUUUAUUUAUGCUCUUUAAAUUUCGGCAAUUUAAUUUAUGCAUUUAUUUUAUGCUUUUAAUUUAUGCAUUUAAAUUUCCGUCUUUAUAUAUUAUUAUUCCAUGAAUAUGGUUAUCAUGUCAAAUUUGACAAAGCUCAAACUAAAUACCCUUAAUAUUACGAAAAUAAUUAUAAGACUUGGGCAGUGGGUGCAAAGAUGCAACUGAGAGAAAAUAAGCUUUGAGAAAUCAUCGAUAAGUUGAAACUAUAUCGGAUGAGAAAAAGAUAAAGCCAUGAUAUUUACACAAAUUCAAUGAUGGUUUAUAAGAUGAGGUGUAUCAUGAGAAAAUACCUGAAAGAUCUUUGAUAAAUAAAUCUUUGAAAGAAAGGAUUCACUAAAUGGUUGGAGUUGAUAUAAAUCCUCCGUGAAAACUGAAAAAAAUAAAAUCAUGAUACUAAACCAUCAAGUCAGUCCUACUAGAAAAGGACGAGGAUUUGGAUGCGGUAGAAGCCGCUAUCGUGGUCGUGGAAGAGGACGAAGAAGAAGAUUUCGUCCAUGUGAAAUAAUUAGAACUUUCACGAAAAAUGAAAGUGGUCGGGUGAUAAAAAGCAAACAAAAAAAGUUUGCUAUAGAUACGGCCAAAAAAAGAAAAUUGGGUAUGUAGUUGUCGUACGCCAAAUAUUUAGCCGAUCUAUACGGAAAAUCAAAAAGAGAAAUAGAAAGGAAGUAUAUUAAACUUCGUCUCUUAUGAGCCCGAACCAUCUUUCAUAGCUUCAAUACUCAUCUUGAUGAUUCAGAUUUUCUGGUUGGUCCAGAAAAUAAAAAUAAAAUAUCGAUGUGAUAUGAGAAUUAUCUUUCUGAAUGAGAUUUUAAGAUUCAAGAUGGAGAUAGAUAUACAUAGCAGAUAUUGAGUCAUCGUACAUGACUACUAAAGGUAACAAAUAUCUUUCCUCUCUCAAACUAAAUAAGUAUAGUAUCUAGUAAUAUAAACAUAUUAUUGGCUUUAGCAGAACUUAUGAUGAAAAGACAUGCAUAAGAAAAAGAUGGCAAAAUUAUUAAUGAAUGGUAAACCUGAAGUUUACUGAUAUAUAGUCAUCUCCAAUAAUGUUCAACAUUAUUGUGAAAUGCUGAAAAACUAGAAGUUUUUCACAUAUAGGAUGUCAAGAAAAUAAAGGAAACCAUCAUGGGUGAUGAAUCAUCAAACAAGUUCACAAUAUGUGAUUUCUUUAAGCAGACCCCAAAUUUAGAUCUCACUCUAAAGGAUUUGAAACAUAAUUCAUCCCAAAUGGGAAAACUGAAUAUGUUAUUGGUUCUAGAGUGGGAUUCAGUACGAGAUUUUAGACAUGGAGUGUCAUCAUCUCUAGAGAGAGAAUUAAAGAAUCCUAGUAAGUGGAACAUUGAAAAAAUUAUGUUCGCACUCGAAAAAGAACUUGAUAAAUUAAACUCAAGUAAGAUGAUCCCCAUGAUCGGAUGUAAACAUGCAGUUGUGCAUGUAAUAAAGACAUAUACAAUCCAGAGGGAUAAAGUAUAUGAAUAAUUACAAAUAUGCUCGCAAGUUUGCUAGAAGCAUAUGAUAAGCUGAUGGAAUGAGAUAUGUGAAAUGGAUUACAAUGAAAAGUAGGAUAAUCCAUUUCCAAAAUACCUGCCAGACAUUGUGAUGAAAUAAUGAAAUCUCAUAUUCCAGCUGAAAAUGCUCCAAUAAGAAAAUAGUGUCCUAAACGGACGAUAUAUGAGUCUAUGGCAUGCUAAAGACUUGAUAGACCACUUUGGUUCAAAAGAAUCCUCGAAAAGGAGCAAAUAUAUGAAUAGUGGAUGAAUCUCAUGAUGAGACCGUUGAUAUGGUUAAUAUAAUAGUCAGGUACCUGAGUAAAUCAUCGAUGAUAAAGAGAUCUCGAUUAACCAUAUCAGUACGGGUAAUAAAAUAGAACCAAAGAAAAAAUAGAUCGUCGACAAUAAAUGAAAAAGCACUAUAAAAGUAAAGAUUAUGAAUCUACCUCUAUGUAUGAGGGUAUAGUGAAUUGAUUGGCCAUCAAUUCGAUAUAAAGCUCGUUAGAAUAACGAGAGAUUUUUGGACCAAAAGUCCAAGGUAUAUAUUUCUCCAAAGAAUGAAAUGAAAGAUGACCUUGAGGUAUGAAAAGCGUCUUGUUCCAAGGUCACUGGAGAAAAUAUAAAAUAGAUGCAAUAUAUUGAUAUGUCUGGUAGGACAAGAACGACUUGAGUUGCAUCUUGAUAUUUAGAAGUCCCUGGAGAGUUAAAAAUGCUCUCGGGAAUGUAUAAAACUCUAGAAGAGUUAGAACAAGCUGUGUAUAAGGUAUCUUAAACCGGUAACUGGUGAUAUGUUUACGCCAUGAUUUACCGAUUGCCAUUUUAAUGAGAAUGAAUUCCAGCGUUAGGGAGAGGAAUUUGAGAAAUUCCUAAAUAAAUUACAUGGUGUACACAUUCGUUGUUACACUUUGGUCCCCCUACAAAUCAAAGAGAGCUGGAAGUUCAGAAAAUUGUGCAUUUGCAUAAUUUGGCAAACCAGUUACCAAAUGUGUUCACAGAUACGACAUGAUAUACCCGCUGAAAAUGUUCCAUCAAGAGUUGAUGUUCCUAAAGAACAAACUGAUGGUAACAAAAUGAAU
Molecule: long non-coding RNA, 9576 nt
Organism: Brassica rapa (field mustard)
Lineage: Eukaryota; Viridiplantae; Streptophyta; Magnoliopsida; Brassicales; Brassicaceae
Source: RefSeq, a predicted model, not a curated record